This 415-nucleotide ribosomal RNA is filed under the name uncultured bacterium. Its description in RNAcentral is "bacterial SSU rRNA". It matches the Rfam family "Bacterial small subunit ribosomal RNA", at positions 355 to 787 of the family's 1533-position model. The record is from RNAcentral.
UCGGGAAUAUUGCGCAAUGGAGGAAACUCUGACGCAGUGACGCCGCGUGCAGGAAGAAGGUUUUCGGAUUGUAAACUGCUUUAGACAGGGAAGAAAAAGACAGUACCUGUAGAAUAAGCUCCGGCUAACUACGUGCCAGCAGCCGCGGUAAUACGUAGGGAGCAAGCGUUAUCCGGAUUUAUUGGGUGUAAAGGGUGCGUAGACGGGAAUGCAAGUUGGUUGUGAAAUCCCUCGGCUCAACCGAGGAAUUGCAACCAAAACUAUAUUUCUUGAGUGCUGGAGAAGAAAGUGGAAUUCCUAGUGUAGCGGUGAAAUGCGUAGAUAUUAGGAGGAACACCAGUGGCGAAGGCGACUUUCUGGACAGUAACUGACGUUGAGGCACGAAAGUGUGGGGAGCAAACAGGAUUAGAUACCC